AAAAUAUAAAAGAGCAUCUGGAUGCAAGAAACAUAUGUGACCUGGAAAGCAAGAGUAAGAUUGCACGGCUUUAAGCUGAAACGUGAGAUGUUCCGUGCACAAGUUACAAAAACUUUCCAUGAAAGAGGGUUUUAGACCUAAAGAAACUAUCUUUCAACUUGAGGAACACCCUCCAAAUCCUGCAUGAUAACUCUUAACCUGCUGAGGGUAAGA
Molecule: unclassified non-coding RNA, 213 nt
Filed under: Hevea brasiliensis (rubber tree)
Lineage: Eukaryota; Viridiplantae; Streptophyta; Magnoliopsida; Malpighiales; Euphorbiaceae
Source: RNAcentral